This is a long non-coding RNA of Dermacentor albipictus, 1094 nucleotides long. RefSeq lists it as uncharacterized. The record is from RefSeq and is a predicted model, not a curated record. NCBI's taxonomy places the organism in Eukaryota, Metazoa, Arthropoda, Arachnida, Ixodida, Ixodidae.
UUAGCCAAUAGGAAGGCCGAAUGCUCAUCGAGAUGUGCUCAUCCACGCCGCGUCGUCUUCUCAGCUUCUGCUUGCCAACCUGUUACAUGUUCCAUGGCUGCAGGAUUGACGCAAAAUAUGUUUUGACGCCGUAACCACAACCCAGCACACUGCUUCCUUUCAUGUGCACCAUCCGUCUGCACAACUGAAGUAGCCGGUUCAAAACCAUCCAUGGGACAAACUUGGGUCACAGGGUUGUUCACGGAAGGCGGCAGCUUCUGAGGCACAAGCUGUCCUCUAAAGAGACGUCGGCUGAAGGCUACGGUAGAUAGCCCACAAAAGGAAGAUGAAGAUGAGAGUGAGACUGCAGAAGCCACGGACAUCACACUUGAUGACGAGUCUGCUAUAGCACACUAAAACACCAGUUUUGGUGGUGAUGUGGAACCUACUAGUGCUGCUCAUCAUGACGAAAACAUCGCUAUUUUCACUGUUAUGGCCGCCGAACCAGCAAACAAUACCAAUAUUGAGUUUUUGCGGGAGUCUGUGGGCGCAGUUGAAGUGUCAAGCACGCCGAACGUUCCACCACCAGAUACAGAGCUCCAGUUAACACCCAAUCAUACAUCACCAGACUUCGAACACAUUGAGCAUGACUACGGCUACGCAGCGCACAAAUCACGAGAUACAUAGGCACCCAAACACAUUUUUACCCUGUUCUGGCACUACCGCCAGCUCAGUACCCUUUUUUAUGCAGGCUUAAGUUACAACACUUUCUGUAGCAAUUGUAGAAACAAAGCCAAAAUUCCAGAACACACGGUCAGUGAUACUGUUCUGUUAACGUUAAUGCGCCUCAGGCUUGGUCUCCUGUAUGCAGACCUGGCAUACAGAUUCAGUUUGUGUGUGUCUCUUGCAUGAAAACUUUUCGCAAGAUGGUGGCCACGCUGGCAGACAAAAGCAGAAUUUAUUUGAUUGCAUAGCUUCCUCUUGAAACAAUUCAAUGGUUUCUUCCACACACCUUCGCACAGAGUGGAUACAAGGGCACAACAUGUAUCAUUGAUUGUCUAAAAUUACACAUGCAGCGCCCAAAGAAAUUGUAUGCACGGGCUCAGACGUACAGC